RNAcentral lists this ribosomal RNA (820 nucleotides) under uncultured eukaryote. RNAcentral describes it as "SSU rRNA". It matches the Rfam family "Eukaryotic small subunit ribosomal RNA", at positions 629 to 1426 of the family's 1831-position model. The record is from RNAcentral.
CGGUGUUUAACUGGCGUGAUGUGGGACGUCCUACCGGUGGGCUUAGCCUCGCGAGGGGCGGCCCAACUAAUAUCCCGUCGCGGUGCUCUUUACUGAGUGUCGAGUCGGGCCGGUACGUUUACUUUGAACAAAUUAGAGUGCUUAAAGCAGGCUAUCCUCGCCUGAAUACUGCGUGCAUGGAAUAAUGGAGUAGGACCUCGGUUCUAUUUUGUUGGUUUUCGGAACCCCGAGGUAAUGAUUAAUAGGGACAGAUGGGGGCAUUCGUAUUGCGACGUUGGAGGUGAAAUUCUUGGAUCGUCGCAAGACGGACAGAAGCGAAAGCAUUUGCCAAAAAUGUUUUUCAUUAAUCAAGAACGAAAGUUAGAGGUUCGAAGGCGAUCAGAUACCGCCCUAGUUCUAACCAUAAACGAUGCCAGCUAGCGAUCCGCCGAAGUUCCUCCGAUGACUCGGCGGGCAGCUUCCGGGAAACCAAAGCUUUUGGGUUCCGGGGGAAGUAUGGUUGCAAAGCUGAAACUUAAAGGAAUUGACGGAAGGGCACCACCAGGAGUGGAGCCUGCGGCUUAAUUUGACUCAACACGGGAAACCUCACCAGGCCCAGACACCGGAAGGAUUGACAGAUUGAUAGCUCUUUCUUGAUUCGGUGGGUGGUGGUGCAUGGCCGUUCUUAGUUGGUGGAGCGAUUUGUCUGGUUAAUUCCGAUAACGAACGAGACUCUAGCCUGCUAAAUAGGCGUACCUUAUGGUAUCGCGAAGGCCCCCGGCUUCGGCCGGUGGGUUUUUACUACCAACGUACAAACAAAUCUUCUUAGAGGGACAGGCGG